GACGAACGCUGGCGGCGUGCUUAACACAUGCAAGUCGAGCGGUAAGGCCCUUUCGGGGGUACACGAGCGGCGAACGGGUGAGUAACACGUGGGUGACCUGCCCUCAGCUCUGGGAUAAGCCCGGGAAACUGGGUCUAAUACUGGAUAUGACUCCAUGACGCAUGUUGUGGGGUGGAAAGCCUUGUGCGGCUGAGGAUGGGCCCGCGGCCUAUCAGCUUGUUGGUGGGGGAUGGCCUACCAAGGCGACGACGGGUAGCCGGCCUGAGAGGGCGACCGGCCACACUGGGACUGAGACACGGCCCAGACUCCUACGGGAGGCAGCAGUGGGGAAUCUUGCGCAAUGGGCGAAAGCCUGACGCAGCGACGCCGCGUGAGGGAUGACGGCCUGGUG
Molecule: ribosomal RNA, 391 nt
Filed under: uncultured bacterium
Lineage: Bacteria
Description: bacterial SSU rRNA
Rfam family: Bacterial small subunit ribosomal RNA
Source: RNAcentral